This 159-nucleotide small RNA is filed under the name human gut metagenome. RNAcentral describes it as "Bacteroidales-1 6S-Bacteroidales RNA suggested". It matches the Rfam family "Bacteroidales-1 6S-Bacteroidales RNA suggested", at positions 20 to 179 of the family's 179-position model. The record is from RNAcentral.
UUGGGAGCUCAUCAAUUUUUAUGAAAUGCCGAGUCGAUUUCUUUCUCUAAUGGCGGGCCUCAAUCCGUUAGGAUGUUGCAAAACCAGAGGAUUACAAAGGAGGGAGAAAACUCAAAUCCUGAUUUUCGGAGUUUCAUCGCCUCUUUGAUGUGGAUCUUA